UACGAAGGGGGCUAACGUUGUUCGGAAUAACUGGGCGUAAAGCGCACGUAGGCGGAUUGUUAAGUCAGGGGUGAAAUCCCGGGGCUCAACCCCGGAACUGCCUUUGAUACUGGCAAUCUCGAGUCCGGAAGAGGUGAGGGGAAUUCCGAGUGUAGAGGUGAAAUUCGUAGAUAUUCGGAGGAACACCAGUGGCGAAGGCGGCUCACUGGUCCGGUACUGACGCUGAGGUGCGAAAGCGUGGGGAGAGAACAGG
RNAcentral lists this ribosomal RNA (253 nucleotides) under uncultured bacterium. RNAcentral's name for it is "partial 16S ribosomal RNA". It matches the Rfam family "Bacterial small subunit ribosomal RNA", at positions 524 to 776 of the family's 1533-position model. The record is from RNAcentral.